UUACUUACCUGGACGAGGUCAAUGGACGAUCAAUAAGGUUCAUGGCCUAGGUUGGUGGAUUUCAUUGCACUUAGAAAUUGCAUCAGCUUAACAUCUCCCAAGGGAGAGUGUGCGUCAUAAUUUGUUAUAGAGGGGACUUGCGUUCGCGCAGUCCCUG
RNAcentral lists this small nuclear RNA (157 nucleotides) under Cephalotus follicularis. RNAcentral describes it as "U1 spliceosomal RNA". It matches the Rfam family "U1 spliceosomal RNA". Rfam says of the family: U1 is a small nuclear RNA (snRNA) component of the spliceosome (involved in pre-mRNA splicing). Its 5' end forms complementary base pairs with the 5' splice junction, thus defining the 5' donor site of an intron. There are significant differences in sequence and secondary structure between metazoan and yeast U1 snRNAs, the latter being much longer (568 nucleotides as compared to 164 nucleotides in human). Lineage: Eukaryota; Viridiplantae; Streptophyta; Magnoliopsida; Oxalidales; Cephalotaceae. The record is from Rfam by way of RNAcentral.